Nanorana parkeri is the source of this 190-nucleotide long non-coding RNA. RefSeq lists it as uncharacterized. The transcript has 3 exons. Lineage: Eukaryota; Metazoa; Chordata; Amphibia; Anura; Dicroglossidae. The record is from RefSeq and is a predicted model, not a curated record.
GUCCGCAAAUGACAAAUCUCACCUGUACAGCACGGUGAAGAAGUAUGGCGCACCAUCGGUCUCCCCGGCAGUUGGUGGAGGAUUGUGUGAGCUGGACCGCUUGCUGAAUGAGCUCAAUGCUACUCAGUUCAAUAUCACCGAUGAGAUCAUGUCCCAGUUUCCUCCAAGUGAUAAAGACGUGACAGACAGA